RNAcentral lists this ribosomal RNA (460 nucleotides) under uncultured bacterium. RNAcentral's name for it is "partial 16S ribosomal RNA". It matches the Rfam family "Bacterial small subunit ribosomal RNA", at positions 338 to 795 of the family's 1533-position model. The record is from RNAcentral.
CCUACGGGUGACAGCAGUGAGGAAUAUUGGUCAAUGGACGAGAGUCUGAACCAGCCAAGUAGCGUGAAGGAUGACUGCCCUAUGGGUUGUAAACUUCUUUUAUAAAGGAAUAAAACGAGGCACGUGUGCCUUUUUGCAUGUACGUUAUGAAUAAGGAUCGGCUAACUCCGUGCCAGCAGCCGCGGUAAUACGGAGGGUCCGAGCGUUAUCCGGAUUGAUUGGGUUUAAAGGGAGCGUAGAUGGGUUGUUAAGUCAGUUGUGAAAGUUUGCGGCUCAACCGUAAAAUUGCAUUUGAUACUGGCAGUCUUGAGUACAGUAGAGGUAGGCGGAAUUCGUGGUGUAGCGGUGAAAUGCUUAGAUAUCACGAAGAACCCCGAUUGCGAAGGCAGCUUACUAAACUGUGACUGACAUUGAUGCUCGAAAGUGUGGGUAUCAAACAGGAUUAGAUACCCGUGUAGUC